Non-coding RNA from Chiloscyllium plagiosum (whitespotted bambooshark), 1540 nucleotides. The record is from RefSeq and is a predicted model, not a curated record. Lineage: Eukaryota; Metazoa; Chordata; Chondrichthyes; Orectolobiformes; Hemiscylliidae.
AUAAAUCAACAAUGCUUUUAAAAAAACCUUAGGAACUUCUGUUCUUAUCUCAAAUGGAGAUUCAAUAAAAAAUUAUAAUUCCUGUCAUAGAUUCUUGUAAAGCGGUGUGGGACCAUUCGCCACAGCAGAUUCGCUGCCUACAAUUAGCCACUGCCCUUUGACCACCGAGGACGCUUAGCCACCGCCCAUUGGCCACUGAAGACGAUUCGCCACAGCAAGUCUGACUCCACUCGAUAGUAACUCCUUCCCAACUGUUCCUGUCCAGUGUAACUAUCAGGAUGCCGAAUGAUACCAGUUUGCUCCCCGACCUGCAGAGCUUCUCCAACACGUUCUCUUUUUAUCUCAGCUCGCCAGCAUUUUAAUUUUAUUUUAUUAAUCAAGCAUCUCUAAAGUUUAAAAAAAAAUGCAGAUGGCACUUUCGAGUUUGGAACUAGAAAAACAGAUGUCCAGAAACUGACUCAUAACUUCAGAAAAGAGAUUAAUGCUUAAACACUACAGCACUUAAACAUCUUGAGAUGAUGGCAUUGAGCAGAUCUUAUCCAUCCUUCAUAAGCUUUUACAUCUGAUUCAACAGUCUGUCAUGACUACACUGUUAAGAGUCCUGCAAGCAGUUCUGCUUGUUUUAUUAUAGAAAGCAUGGGUAUUGGAGAUGGUGCAGAGAAUAUUUCCAAGUAUAAUACCAGCAAUGCAUAUCAUAAAAGAACUGACUUGGUAGAUCUCUUUCCUUCUGAGAGAAAAGAAUGUUCAGGGUGAUCUAAUUAAGGUCAUUAAAGCUAUGAAAGCUUCCAACAGAGUGGAUACAAAGAGAAUGUUUCCUAGCUGGAAGAGUGCCAUUAGAUGUCACCAAAAUGGGAUAGCUACUAAGAAAUUCCACAGGAAAUUCAGGGAGAAAACAACUUAACCUAAUGAGUGGAUAAAGGAGAAACAAAACAAGCAUUUGGAGGAGAUGGGAAAAAAUAGUUAUGAUGCUGAUUUGGAUGAGCAAAGAUAGAAAAAGACUCAAGUGGAGCAAGAGCUGUCAGUGCCAAGUUUCUGUUUAUACUUCUUUCACCAUCCUAUGUAAACGUUAAGAAGCAUUUAAUUCCCUAAAAAAAAACUCUCAAGAUAUUACACUUGAAUUGCAAGCAGCAGUUACUAAGUGAUUAAUCUUUAAAUCCAGACAACCUCAAGUCAUUUCGACAUGAUCGGUGAACUGAAGUGGGAACAGAGUGAGACAAACUUCCAAGAUGAGAAUUUGUCUGCAGUAACCAAUCUAGAGUGGAAAGGGAAGGGACAACUUGAGUCAUUCAAUUUAAAUUGAACUAGAUAAGAAUAUAAGUUUAGUUUGUAUUUAUAUUAAACAAGUAAUAACAGGAACAUAUGAGCAGGCGACAUUGAAAGAUGCUUCCUUCAGUUUGAAUUAACUUGGACAAAGAUAUCUGCAAAAGUGCCACCAACUGUAAUGACUUAAAUUCAAGGUCUGGGAACUGGACUUUGAUUUAUCAGAGAGUGCAUAAGUUUUUUGGAAUUAGAAUUUGAAGAGUAAAUGUUGUAUUGUUUC